This 234-nucleotide ribosomal RNA is filed under the name uncultured bacterium. Its description in RNAcentral is "partial 16S ribosomal RNA". It matches the Rfam family "Bacterial small subunit ribosomal RNA", at positions 118 to 350 of the family's 1533-position model. The record is from RNAcentral.
UGGGCAACCUGCCCCUCUCUCUCUGGGAUAACCCCGGGGAAACCGGAGCUAAUACCGGAUACUCCGGCUGGAUCGCAUGGUCCGGCCGGGAAAGGUCCGCCGGAGAGGGAUGGGCCCGCGGCCUAUCAGCUUGUUGGUGGGUAACGGCUCACCAAGGCGACGACGGGUAGCUGGUCUGAGAGGACGACCAGCCACACUGAAACUGAGAUACGGUCCAGACUCCUACGGGAGGCA